UCGCUGAUAUAUAAUAUACCGCGUCUCUCUCUCUCGCAGAAGUGGUCAAUAUCUCUCCCAAGGGGUCUGGGGCACAUCGCGCCCAGAAAAUACCCCCCUGGUAGUGUGUCGAGAGAAAUCAAAGGAUUGGGGGCCCCCACACCGUGGAGCUUGUGUUAUUGACCCACCGGGAAGACCUUACCAGUCUUGACAUCGAGUGCAGGGAUAGAGAUAUCCCCCUCUCUCGGAGACGCGAAGACAGGUGGUGCAUGGCUGUCGUCAGCUCGUGUCGUGAGAUGUUGGGUUAAGUCCCGCAACGAGCGCAACCCCUAUCCUAUUUACCAGCACGUCGCGGUGGGGACUCAUAGGAGACUGCCAGGGACAACCUGGAGGAAGGCGGGGAUGACGUCAAGUCAUCAUGCCCCUUAUGUCCUGGGCUACAGGCGGUACUACAAUGGCCGGCAACAGAGAGAAAGCGAAGCCGCGAGGCUGGAGCGAACCCCAGAUUCCCGGUCCCAGUUCGGAUCGCAGGCUGCAACCCGCCUGCGUGAAGUCGGAAUCGCUAGUAAUCGCAGAUCAGCAUACUGCGGUGAAUACGUUCCCGGGCCUUGUACACACCGCCCGUCACACCACGAAAGUUGGUAACACCCGAAGCCGGUGGGGUAACCGUGAGGAGCCAGCCGUCUAAGGUGGGGCCGAUGAUUGGGGUG
This 689-nucleotide ribosomal RNA is filed under the name uncultured bacterium. RNAcentral describes it as "bacterial SSU rRNA". The stretch from base 99 to 689 matches the Rfam family "Bacterial small subunit ribosomal RNA", at positions 874 to 1482 of the family's 1533-position model. The record is from RNAcentral.